Molecule: signal recognition particle RNA, 265 nt
Filed under: Peptoniphilaceae bacterium
Lineage: Bacteria; Bacillati; Bacillota; Tissierellia; Tissierellales; Peptoniphilaceae
Also listed under: 1 other name
Description: signal recognition particle sRNA large type
Rfam family: Bacterial large signal recognition particle RNA
About the family: The signal recognition particle (SRP) is a universally conserved ribonucleoprotein involved in the co-translational targeting of proteins to membranes. Archaeal SRP consists of a 7S RNA and homologues of the eukaryotic SRP19 and SRP54 proteins.
Source: RNAcentral
CCAUGCUAGAUGGGGAAUUAGCGGCACCCUGUAACUUGUAAUCCGCUACAACAAGAUUGAAUUCCCGAUCCAGCGCAUUUCUUUUGCGGCCUGCCCGAGAAAAGUGAUGUUGAGGAGUGGGUCCUACGCAAUAAGCCCUUGCGAACCGUGUCAGGUCUUGACGGAAGCAGCACUAAGUAAGUCCGCUUAUGUGACGUAGAUUCGCCUGCUCUGAGUUAACUCUCUCGGUAACGCGUGGAAGACUUGUGCAAAGUCGGGUGCAUGG